UAAAUGGCCAUCUUCCUUUUAAAAUCAAUUUAUCACCAAUUUAAUUUCCUAUUUUUGUAACACAUGCAGUUGACAUUUCUAUAGGAACCAACUACUGUUAACCAACUUAUUUUGUGGACCUUUGAAUUGUGUUGUCAUUUCUAUCAUAUUUCGCAGCUGAUAUUUUUUUUUUUUCGUGUAUCGCCGAUUCUAUUAUAUUUCACUUAAGAUUUUUUUUUCAUGUAAAUAUAAGAAAGACGAUGAGGUAUGAUUGCCAAUAAGACUUUACUCUUCUAAAGAGACUUAAUGACUCAAAAAAUUAACAGCUUAAGGUAACUGUACGACCGUCAACGAUGAGCAAACCCCAAACCGCAUUGUCAUCCAUAAAAGGCCACAAAAUCACAUAUGCAAAACAAUUCAAACGAAAAAACUGAUAUUUUUUUGUGUAUCUCCAUUUCUAUCAUAUGUCACUUAGAAAUUUUUUUUGCCAUAUAUAUAUAUAGAAGAUAUGGUAUGAUUGCCAAUGAGACAACUCUCCACAAGUGACUAAAUAACACAGAAAUUAAUAACUAUAGGUAACUGUAUGGCCCUCAAUGAUGAGCAAAGCCCGAACUGCAUAGCUAUUUAGGCACAGAAAUCACAUAUGUAAAACAAUUCAAACCACAAAACUUACGACCAUACAGACAUUUCUAUCAUAUUUCUCAGCUGAUAUUUUUUUCUCAUAUUGCCAUUUCUAUCAUAUUUCACGAGACUUUUUCUGCUUUUUAUAUUAAAAAAAAAAAAGAUGUGGUAUGAUUGCCAAUGAGACAACUCUCCACAAGAAACUCAAUGACACAGAAAUUAACAGCUAUAUGUAACUGUACGGCCCUCAAUGAUGAGCAAAAACCAAAGUGCAUAAUCAGCUUUGAUAGGCCCAGAAAUCACAAAUGUAAAACAAUUCAAACGAACACACUUAAGGACCAUUUAGCCAUUUUUAGCAUUUUUGGAUAAAUAUCGUGAUUAUCUAAUUUUUCGGAUUAUUUCGCAAUUCUAUUUUGAAAUACUCGUGAUUUAUAUUCGGCUUACUAUUUUUCUUUGAAGUCUUCUUAAUAAAUUGUCCAAAAAAUGAGUUGGUUCACAGUAUGCUCCUCUUCUAGUCUUGGUCAUCCCCCUGUAGCAGUCUCAAUAAUCCUUUAUUCCCCGCCCCUGCUGAGUCAAAGUUAGAGACUUCAAAAUUGGUAUUGCUAUUCGUUUACUACCCAAAGAAACCUAAAGAGAAAGAGCAAAGACAAGUUGGCUUUGAAAAAGACUAGAUGAAUCUUCAUCCUAUCUAGUAACUGUUCCAAAAAUGACUCGGCAUAUGUUUUAAAUGAUAUAUGUGGGGUAAUUAACGUCAAUGAGACAGCAACUUACCAAAUUUGGCCAAGACACAUAAUAACUAAGUUAACAUACUGUCUUCAACAAUACAAAUAUGGAGAUCUGAUAUGAUUGCCAAUAAGACAAACUCUUCAUCAAAUCCACAUGUCAGAGAUUGAUGCAGGGUCUUUAAUAAUGGAGCAAUGACCUAACAUAUCAUAUUCAAAUCACAUUUACAUAUAAACAUCAGAUGUGGUAUGAUUGCCAUUGGUACAAGUAUGUUGCUGGUGUUAGAUAUCCAUCCUAUUGUCCAUCUUUACAUAUGAAGUAGACUUGAUUUAGGUGCUUCUUAGGGAAAACAGAGGAUCUUGCAUUGUACUUUUACUUCACAAUCCCCAAUUUAGG
Molecule: long non-coding RNA, 1719 nt
Filed under: Mytilus galloprovincialis (Mediterranean mussel)
Lineage: Eukaryota; Metazoa; Mollusca; Bivalvia; Mytilida; Mytilidae
Source: RNAcentral